RNAcentral lists this non-coding RNA (818 nucleotides) under Pan troglodytes (chimpanzee). RNAcentral also lists the same sequence under 1 other name. The record is from RNAcentral. Lineage: Eukaryota; Metazoa; Chordata; Mammalia; Primates; Hominidae.
GGAUUGGCGUCCGGGCGGCUAUCUAGGGGCUGCUGGGAAGAUGGCGGACUCGGUGGCUAGCCGAUGAGGAGGCCGCGGGGGGAACCCGGCCCCCGGGCCCCGAGACCGACUGAGGGAGCGACCUGCGCAGGGCCCGGGGAGUCAUGUAGGGGUGGCGCCUGCGGGGAGGGCUGCGGGAGGGCAGCGGGAGCUGGUGUUAGCGGCAGCGGCCACGGUCUCCUGGCGUCCCUGGGCCGGGGUGGGUGUUGGGGCCCCCGACUUCGCCGACUCCGCGCCAUCGCAAAGCGGUGCACUCGGGCUCCACGCGCGCCCUGCGAGGUGGGCGCUGCGUUUUCAUUUCACGGGUGAGGAGACUUAGAGAGACGAAGCCACUUGUCCAAGGUCACGCCGCUGGGUCUCCAUCACCCAACUCCAUGCUUCGAGUCCUGCUCUCUGCUCAGACCUCCCCUGCUCGGCUGUCUGGCCUGCUGCUGAUCCCUCCAGUACAGCCCUGCUGUUUGGGGCCCAGCAAAUGGGGGGACCGGCCUGUUGGAGGAGGCCCCAGUGCAGGUCCUGUGCAAGGACUGCAGCGGCUUCUGGAACAGGCGAAGAGCCCUGGGGAGCUGCUGCGCUGGCUGGGCCAGAACCCCAGCAAGGUGCGCGCCCACCACUACUCGGUGGCGCUUCGUCGUCUGGGCCAGCUCUUGGGGUCUCGGCCACGGCCCCCUCCUGUGGAGCAGGUCACACUGCAGGACUUGAGUCAGCUCAUCAUCCGAAACUGCCCCUCCUUUGACAUUCACACCAUCCACGUGUGUCUGCACCUUGCAGUCUUACUUGGU